GCAUCUGCAUUAAAAUGGAAUCAUCAUUAAUUUCUCUAAAUCUUUCGAUCGAUAAGUUUUAGCUGAACAUUUUAAGAAGAGGAAAUUUCGAACGAGGAUAAGAAUUAGGUAAUCUGGACGCGACAGGCUCCAAAGGAGAGGUUUUGAGAAUUAGUUUGGAGAAUGCUGAGAUGGAGAAUUGAAGUUGAACCAAGGUGAUGAGAGAUUUGGAGAAAUUGUAACAGAAAAUUAGAACAAUCGAUUUAAAAAAGAAUAAUAAUUUAACGUGUAAUAAAUUUCAUAGGUUUCCGAGUGAAAAAGAAAAGAGUUUAAAGAGCAACAAAGGAAAUAAAGGAUAAAAAAUCGCGAAAUUAAACAAGCGGAGGAAGAAAAGGGGAAAAAGUUCUCGUACAAAAAAAAAAGAAAGGAAAGAAAAAUGGAAAGAGACGAAGAAAAUCUUUUAAAAAGUUAAAAUUAAUUUCAACGAGUGGCCGCACGCCACAAUCUCAAAGAAUCAAGUUAAUUAUAUAGGUCAACCAAUUUUUUUGCAAAGAGGUUCAUUUACCUUAAACCUUGUGCAAACACAAUGUACACGCUUAGCGAGCAGAUUAUUACAGCCUCGCAAAAUAGCAAAUUGAGCGUGGCCAAUAAUUCGUCCGUCCGAUGUAAUGCCAUCAACUGUAAUUAUCCUCCAUUAUUGGACGGUCUAUUGAGAUCUUAUUAACCCUCCCAGCUAAGCUGCAUUUAUUUUAUCCCAACAAAGACCACCUCCUCCUUCCAUUCGUAGUAAUUACAAAUGCGUUACAGCGCACGUAUACGCGGGCAACACUGUGUAACACUGUGAGAUGAAGUGCCAAGGAGUGUGUAUUACACGAACGAGGUUGUUGCACCCGUGAUCGAAUAAAUAGAGGCGUCGUGGAAGGCUUUAGGCCGUCCUUUCAGCAUUAUUCAAGCCUCGUGACGGGGCUCUUAUGCAAAAGAGACGUAUCAGGAGGAGAAGAUUCCUCGCUGACGACCUCAGAAUAGAUCGCCUAUACGUGUCGUGCCUCGGCGAAAUCAUGAAAGAAAUCAUUGUCCGUGAAGGGUUUCUUCCGAGGCAACCUUGGCAAGCGAAACGGCGGACAAUCGGCCGUGUGCCGGGUCAACAAGGGACAGAAAAAAAAGUUCUCUGCGAUCCUUUGCGGGGGAUUUUCGCCAGCUGCGCGUACGUGCGAGAUCUCCGGUCUUUUCGAUGCUGUUUGACUUGUUAUUUAGGGAAAAAAGAUUCCAGGAAGUACCUACUAACUUUUUACAGGCGUUGGAUUAUUAAUAUUUGCUGAGAAACUGGUGAGAAACGACAAAAAUUUUUUAAUAAUGACGGAUAAAGUGUGGCGAACAGCCUCGACUCUCUUCAAUCGUGUUUGGAAUAAAAGUGAUAAAGUGAUAAAUGGUUGCUAAGAAAUUGAAAGAAACGUCGAUAACUUUUUUUUAACAACGACGAAUAAAAGAGGAAGAGUAAGAAAUGAAAAUAGCGUUUAAGAAAUACGAAAAUUUGAAAAGUUUAAACAGAAUUUACGAAGAGUCGGAAGUUCCAUUAAGUGGAAGUUUUGUAAGAGAUGAUAGAAGUGGAGGAACGCGUAGGAGGAGAGAGGGUUUAGAACAAAUUCAGGUAUACUUGCCGCACUCCAUAACCUUGGCGGGAAUUAUUACAUCAAACUCCGGGGACCGGAAAUCUCGUACAAGAAGAUUUAUACUUCCUGUAUUUCUAACUCCUCCAACUUCGACGGGAAUAUCGUAUGAUAUAUUUCCAAGAAAUUCACAACGUCAUUAUAAACGAUUUCGAUAUCAUAGAUACGAUUCUACAUGAGUGAACGGUGUUCAGAAGUCGAUCACAGUGUAAAUUCUCUGGAAACCGCUUCCAUGAUCGAAGAACCCUCUCUAUUAUUUUCAACUUUCAAUUCUUGGAUCGAUCGAUUAUUUCACAUCAAGUUUACAAGGAUCCCAUAAAACGGAUUGAAACAGCGUGUAAACAGUCCGACUACGAUAUCCAGAGGCAAGAUAUUGGAAAGGAAGAAUUUGAAUAAAAAAGUUAAUGCACGUAAGGUCGUGGAAGAUCAGACGGGAAGAGGUGACGCCACUUGGUGGCUAGGAUAUCGAUCUCUUGGCAGCCUGUGUGACGUCACAUCCUGCCUAUCCUUGACCCAGCCCGAAUCACGUCCUUAGGAUUCCACGCUUCUGGCCCCGCGAAGAUGCAAUUUUGUCGUAUCUAUGCGAGGCAUGCACCGGCGUCUCCUGUUCUUCCGCCUCUUCGUCGCGGGGGAUCGUACUGGAACGCGAGGAACUUUACCGAUGAGGACGCAUAAAUUACUGUGUCCAAGUAGCUGGAAUUACGCCUCGAUUCAUCGCGUCACGAGAAUCGUGUUAAUCACACAUCAUUCGCGAUGCUUGCCUCGAGGUUGCACAAACGUGAAAUAAAAGGAUGCGACGAUAUCGAUCAACUUUCGGAUCUUGGGAUAACGAAAAUUUAAUUUUCAUGCUUGUGCUGGUUAAGCAAGAAUUUUGUUAAUCAAUUCGAAAGCGAUCGAAAAAUGCAACACGAGACAACUUUGAGAUAAAAAUAUCCCGAUGAGUGUUUUAAAUAUUUUCAGAAGGAUAUCAAAAUUCGAUAUCAAAAUUCUAUAUAUUCAUCGUGUAAUCAUCGAAUUACAAAGAUCCUUAAACAACGUAAAAUUCGAAAGUUAAAAUUAGAAACAGGAAAAAAAAAAAAGAAAAAAUCACACAGCAAAAUUCGAUCGAAAGCUCCUUCGUUAGAUGAAAAUCAGAAUCGCUUAUCCUAAAAAUCAGGGAAUCUCGUUCGAGAAGCACGUGCAAAAGAUCGUUUGAUUACGGACGAGAAUAUAUUUCACAGAGGAUCCGCUCCUUUCAACUUACGUAACAACAGUUGUUACACUCGUUUCCGUGCAAAAUCACGCGCAACGAUUUCGCGAUUAAAAAAAUCAUGUUUUGCGUACAUUAAAAAAAAAAACCUUAAAUCCCAAUGGAAAGAAUCGCGCACCUUUGAACGAUUUUUUUUACAGAAUUUUUCGACGUGUAUUUAUCGAGUACAAUCGAGAAACAUCGAGCAAUCGAGUAUCGGAAGAAUCGAUAUCGAUUUCCUAAUUCUUGCGUGAAACAUCAGAGACUGGCCGCGGAAAUUUAAUGGGCUCGAGACUCCGUGAAUAAUAAAUAUCGCGAAAAAGCGAUCAUUACGGAGGGAAACGAGUUCGUGUGUCGAGCUUCAUUCUCGAUUUAUCAGCCAGGAGAGAAAGGGAGAGGGAGGGAGUUGCUCCAACGUAAUUUUCCAACUAUUUCGAAGUCGGUCGAUCAUCGAUUAUAUCGCGUAUUCUUGACACGAUUUACUUCCUGCGGUUUAUGGUUCGAUCCGUACUUUCAAUUUCGAAAAUUCUCGCUUCUGCAUAAUUGUUGUUGCAAAUACAUAAAUAUAUAAAUUUUAGGAAAAUGAAUAUUAUGCGAAGAUACGUAAGAAUGCAAGUAGAAUGUGAUUGAUAGAGUCAGACAUUCGAGGCUCGAAUACAACUUUCGUGAAGUGUAAGAAAUUUUUUUUAAUCUAAAUAAAUUUAAAUAAAUUAGCCGGUCGAUAAAAAUCGUAUUAUAUUUCCUCGAAAUAAUUAGUCGUAUUAAUAAUACAGGAAUUACCGGCUCAUGACUGAUUCAUAACUGACUCAACUCAGUCUUUUCAAGGUUUCUUAAUCUAAAGUCGCUUUAGAAAUAAAUGUAACGUUCGAUAAACGUGCAAUUCUCAAGUAAUAAAAAUGUUCACUUCGCAAUGAUAAUAAACGGUAAUAACAAACUGAGAUUAUACUCGGGCGUAAAACAAAAAUAUCUUUAGCACGCACGGAACGAUAUUAGAAAUAAAAAUUUACCUUCCAACAAAUAUUUCUUCUAAUCUCGUCCUCCUUAUCAAUGAUCCAUAUUCAUUUUUCCAAUAAAUCGGACGUCACCCGUAUAUCUUGCGUCUUAUGCCACGCACCACGACAUUAAAAAAAAAUCCAACUUUCAUUUCUACUGAUCUCCCAUCCAUAUUUAGACAAAAUCGUGUAUUAAACAUCCAUGCACUUUGCAUCACGCGCAACAGAUAAAACGUAACAAAUGAUAAAAAUUCAUUUUCCAACAAAUAUUUCCUUUAUACCACAAUUAUUGCCAUCUCGAACUGGCCAACCGACCGCCCGCAUUACACUAAUUAUUUCACUUUCAUCCUGGUGUUAAACACGCCGGGGUUGAGACACCGCGUGUACUGCGAGAUGUAAAUUACGAGGCCGUUUCAGAAGGCUCCGCGAAGCUUUAUGAGCUCCGUUAUCGUGUCCGAAUUUCAUGGUAGUCGUACGUCUUUCCACCGAUUAAAUAAAUAAUUCAUGAGGUCGAAAGGGCACGGUGAAGAUCCGUCCAAGUCGGAACAAGUUGAAACUCGUUAUCGUGUCCUGGCCAGGACUAUUUCCGCUCGAGGACGUGGCGCAACCUUGUUCUCGCAGCGGUCCUCGCGUGCAAUUUGUGUCUUCUCGCGAGGACACGCGUCGUCGAGUUCCGUUCCGUUCGGACCGGGAAGUAGCCGUUUCUGUUCGGUUAUGGAGCCGACUAUUAGUCUGGUCACUUUCGUGAUCGCCCGCGAUAUUUCUCGAUCAGACUGGCUCGAGAUUACGGCGACCUCGACCGUCGUCAGGGACGGUCCUCAGACGGGGUAAACAAGUUUGGCGACUACUGUGGAGGGGUGACACGAUUGACGAUCGAUUUUUUUUUGCUCGUUCUUGGGCAGAGAUUAGGGGUUUGUAAAAUUCGUUGAAUUAAAUUCUAUAUAUAAGAAGAUUAAGAAUUGCUUCGUAUUGUACUCGAUCGAUCGGUGAUUAACGAUGGAUGUUUCCUUGAUUUUGAAAUUGAACAAAGAUUGGAUCAUAAUUUAUCUUGAUAAAAAUGGUCUUCUCUUUUUUUGUAUAUAGCUGUGUAUAAAACACAAAAUCCAAUAUUAGAAUAGCCGAUAAAUAUUCCUCUAUUCAUGAAGAACAAUUUAAUGGCCCCGGCAGAGUCGGCUUCCCCUACAUUUCAAUGCUCCUCAUCCGGAUGCUCGUAAGUUAAGUCGUCGUUCCGAAGGAAUUGAGUUACUGCGCCAUUGGGCUCGGGAAGUGUUAUUUUAUCGCGUCUUCAAAGCAUGUGGAUCAAGGGAAUUCUUUCAAUUUGCAAUACUGCAGAUUUUAUUACGUCAAUAUAAACGAGAAAUUACGAGUUCUUAUUCGCACUGCCAAUUCGAGUAGUCACUGAUAAUUUUAUAUCGGCAAUAAUCUUCCACAGAUAUUUUCACAAAUAUUUAAAAUACGAAAAAUAUGUAAUAAUCGUUUUAUGCGAUGCUCGUGCAGAACAAAUAUACUUCUUGUAUGUCGAAUUUUUGUAUACUUAAUUUUUUAAAUAAUUACACAACAUAUUCUCGAUAUUUACGUAAGCCCACUUUCUUUGAGUUAAGUAUUCCUUUAAAACGUUCCUCGUCGACGAAAACAGAGUUUCUUUUUUUUCUUUGCGAUUCAAUGCGAAGAUAUGGAGAAAUCUCGAAGCGCGAGUCGCAGAAUUGGCGGCGGAAACGGCGCCAUUACCGAUCCUCCGCGACCCUUAUUAUCCUUAUUUUCAUGACAAUCGACACUUAGACCAGACACGGAUAAGGAGUUCGAUCACUUUCACGAAUUCUCGCGCAAUGUUUCCAUUCUGGGUCAAGUAUUUCCUGCAAUGGGGAUAAAAGGAGGCGAAUUUAUGACCGCUUAUUCAAUGCACCUUCCGGGAAGGAAAAUUCAUGUUUGUUCGACCUUUUCCGGUAAUUCGAGAUAAAAGUGGUUCUACUUUAUUUAUGACGUCUUUAGAGAUAAAACGUUAUACUGUUGUGCAUUAAAAGUCUAAGUGCGGUUCUAUCUUAGGAAGUGUUUAGAUUAUCAACAUCGAUUAUUUUUAUUAGGUUGGAAAGUAUCCAGUAAAUUAUAACUGUUGUGAUAACAGUUUCGUUAAUUUCAAAGUCACGUAGAUUUAAAUAUCAAUUAUGAUUUCAGCCUUGCUUGGAAUCGGAGAAAAGUGGAUUUUUGUGAUCUUGGAAAAGAUCAUUUUUCUAUUUUUCUUGUAUUCAGACCUAGCUGACAAUUUAUCAACGUAGAUAAAUACACGCGAUUGUACAAUUGUACUUGGAUAAAUCUUCCAGUUAAACAAAUAAUAAUUUCAAAUAAUUACAAAUUGAAUUUCUC
Molecule: long non-coding RNA, 6227 nt
Organism: Apis cerana (Asiatic honeybee)
Lineage: Eukaryota; Metazoa; Arthropoda; Insecta; Hymenoptera; Apidae
Source: RefSeq, a predicted model, not a curated record